GUUUUUUGUGACGCUCACUUCCUGCUACUUACGAUUUGCAACGUGGAAGUCACGCAUCGUCGAAGCAAGGCUCCUAAUUAUGAGGGUGUGCGGAGAUGCUAGCAGGUGGAGGAAAUUCCUUUGAUUAGCGCCCUUGGAGAGCGGAUUGAGUUUUCACGGUGUUCAAGAUGUUCACGACGUCAUGGUGCUCGUCGAGAGAAACGAAAUAAAUCAACACCCGUUUGAAACUCUCUGCGUCUUGAUCAAUCAAUCCGAGGGGCCGCUACACCAACCGCCGUCUAAAGUGCUCAGCAACCCCCCCAAGAUAUCACAGGGUCUUUUGCCCACACGUGAUAGUCUGGAACAUCUACAAAUGAAGUGGUCUCCAACAACGCACUCACACAAAAGGUAAAUUGUCUCUCUGAUCGAUGGAACCGGAGCUGAAGAAACCCAAGACGAACAGAACUUCAACUCCGAACUCUGUCGGCUGAACUGACGCACUGAGAACUUCUGAGACACCCGCUUUCCUUCUGCUUAGCCGUGUGCGAUGCGAGGACUGAGAGGAGGCGUGGGGGGGGCAGAGAAGGUUAAGCCCUCGCUCUGGUUCCUCCUCUCGUCCCGCUGGUCUCUUUAAGAAGCUCGAGGCUUGUAAAGCCACGAGCCAGAGAGGAAACACACACACACACGUGUACUCGAGGUGGUGAUAAGGAGCUACUUAAGGGCACUUGAGCUCUCCGCUUGAACACUUGUUUAGAGGCUCCGAGCCAACUUCGUCCUGCAGCUGAGCUCAGCGGAGUCUUCCUCAGAGCCAACAAAACCGACGACCCGCGCACACACACACCGUGAGAGGCAUUCCUCCGCUGGCAGCAGCUUCUCGUCUUCCUCCUCUUCCUCCUCUUCAUCCCUUAAUGAGGCGGCGAGCGGCGAUUCCGGCCGGAGCUCCUUUUGUGAGCCGGCUGGCUGGAGCUCCGCCGACAAAUUAAAACUCAAUUAUGUUUUCAUUUCACACUCUUUUAUUGGGCGUCAAUGAUUAUAUAUA
Molecule: long non-coding RNA, 1018 nt
Organism: Gasterosteus aculeatus aculeatus (three-spined stickleback)
Lineage: Eukaryota; Metazoa; Chordata; Actinopteri; Perciformes; Gasterosteidae
Source: Ensembl